AUUGCUUCUCAGCCUUUUGGCUAAGAUCAAGUGUAGAAAGCUAAUAGGAUCUAUUUAAUUUACAUCUGUGUAUGCAAACAUAUAUAAACUAUAUUUGAAUACAUACACAUAUAUGCAUAUCUAUGUAUACAAUAU
This 135-nucleotide small nuclear RNA is filed under the name Fukomys damarensis (Damara mole-rat). RNAcentral describes it as "U2 spliceosomal RNA". It matches the Rfam family "U2 spliceosomal RNA". From Rfam's summary of the family: U2 is a small nuclear RNA (snRNA) component of the spliceosome (involved in pre-mRNA splicing). Complementary binding between U2 snRNA (in an area lying towards the 5' end but 3' to hairpin I) and the branchpoint sequence (BPS) of the intron results the bulging out of an unpaired adenosine, on the BPS, which initiates a nucleophilic attack at the intronic 5' splice site, thus starting the first of two transesterification reactions that mediate splicing. The record is from Rfam by way of RNAcentral. Lineage: Eukaryota; Metazoa; Chordata; Mammalia; Rodentia; Bathyergidae.